AUGUGUGCGCAGGAAUGCACAUGUAGAUGAAGUUAUACCCUGCCACGCACACCUACCGCUGCGGCUGUUUCCUGAGAGACUGCGAGAGAGAAGAAAGGCAGGAGACAUCACAUGACCGAACCUUGGGAGGUUCAAACAUCUAAACAGAACAAGAAGAUGACUUUAGAUAUUUUAUAAAUGCUCAUCAAAUGGAAGAGGAAUAUCCCUUUGAAUAGUGGUUGGCUGGAGUAGAAUACAGCGAAGAAGAAGCAUAUCUUCAAUAAAAGCAAAUCUAGGAGGUAAGGGUGUAUACAAUGUGUAUGACAGUUCUAGGGGACAGCUCUCUCAGGGUGUGAAGGCUCCAACAAAGGAGAAGGACCAGGAAAUUCAAGGAAAAUGUGUGGCAGUGGAGUACUGAGGAAUGUGCAUGUACACUGAAGUGAAAUAAUUUCUGGAAAGCAGCUAAGAAUGGGGCAGAAUAUAAAACACAGGGACAGUGGGAGGCACCACUGUAAGAAAUCACUAAAAGGAGACAGGUCCUGUUAAGGCAUUACUUUGCCUUUUGAGUAAGGCUAGUGCUGUGAAGGUUUUGCAUUACUUUUGUAUAAGAUGCAAAGUGGAAAACCCUUACUACUCUGUCAUUUAAAAAUGCAUGGCAUGCCUUAUAAUGGUUCUUUAUCCUUUCAUUACUGGCUGAAUUUCAAUUCUAAUAAAUUACAUUCUGCCUAUA
Serinus canaria (Common canary) is the source of this 709-nucleotide long non-coding RNA. RefSeq lists it as uncharacterized. The transcript has 2 exons. Lineage: Eukaryota; Metazoa; Chordata; Aves; Passeriformes; Fringillidae. The record is from RefSeq and is a predicted model, not a curated record.